CUUUUUAAAAAAAAUCUCAGCAUAUUUCUUCAGCAAUUCAAUCUGAAUUUCAUACUUUUUAUGAUUUUUUUUUUGUGUGAAAAAUGUGCAUGAAAUUACACCAGGGUAAAAAUCCUCUGAUAAAAUGAUGUUUUUUUUUCACCCACACACAUGUAUAAAGGUGACAUGGCCUUAUAUGGUAAUCACAUACAGUCUAAACAUGUCUAAAGAGACAAGCCACUGAGAGAGAAUCAAGAAGCGGUUGAUAUCCCUUACCCGGCUAAAUUUCUAUAAUGAACUUGUCCAUCUUAUAAUUUGGACCGUACCAUUAACGGUUAAAAGGGGUGUUGACCAAAAAAGAUACCAACUGAAUGGCGAACAGUGCAGAAUCAAUCCUGUCGACCAUGAUAAGGGAUAAACAUCAAAUGUUUCAAUCGCACAUGAAAUUAUGUGGUCUUAUAGUCAGGUGAUCUCUGUACAUAGCUUCGACUGUAUGUUCUAUAGCUCUGAUACAUGGUGAUACACAAAUGAUCACAAAACAUUGAUUUCUAAUUUUUUUUUUUAAAUUUCAAACUUCUCUUAUAUUCACAUCAGAUAGAAUCCCUUCAUUUUUUAUCCAUUUAAUAAUAAAAUUUUAAAGGCAUAAAUAAAUAAAAAUUUCUUACCGUCUCAUAAUUUCGAAAGUUUUUGAAACUUAAUUCUAUCUUUGCCUAUAAAAAGGACUUUAUCUAUAUAAU
Molecule: long non-coding RNA, 716 nt
Organism: Mercenaria mercenaria
Lineage: Eukaryota; Metazoa; Mollusca; Bivalvia; Venerida; Veneridae
Exons: 2
Source: RefSeq, a predicted model, not a curated record